Ceratotherium simum simum (southern white rhinoceros) is the source of this 108-nucleotide non-coding RNA. The record is from RefSeq and is a predicted model, not a curated record. NCBI's taxonomy places the organism in Eukaryota, Metazoa, Chordata, Mammalia, Perissodactyla, Rhinocerotidae.
UUUCAGUUUGAUGUAGUCCCACUUGUUUAUUUUUGCUUUUAUUGCCUUUGCUUUUGGUGUCGAAUCCAAAAAAUCAUAGCCAAGGCCAAUGUCAAGGACCUUUCCCCU